This is a non-coding RNA of Paramuricea clavata, 243 nucleotides long. The record is from the annotation of a GenBank genome assembly. Lineage: Eukaryota; Metazoa; Cnidaria; Anthozoa; Malacalcyonacea; Plexauridae.
UGAAAUUUAUGAAUAUACAUAUGUCAAAUGCUAUAUAUAUUGUUAGGCUACUUAAGCCGGUUACAGACGAGCAAGUUUUCUAUGACAAGUUUUUAUGUGACAAGUUUUAUUUGCUCGAAUGUACGCGCAACUUUGACAAGUUUUUCUAUGACAAGUGCACUUGUUCAAAAGCGCUAGCAUGCUAGCUAGAAAAAAUUGUCAAAGUACAAAUUUUGUUCGUCUGUAUGGGUCAACAAAGAAAAC